Hippoglossus stenolepis (Pacific halibut) is the source of this 2642-nucleotide long non-coding RNA. RefSeq lists it as uncharacterized. The record is from RefSeq and is a predicted model, not a curated record. The transcript has 3 exons. Lineage: Eukaryota; Metazoa; Chordata; Actinopteri; Pleuronectiformes; Pleuronectidae.
GUUCUCUGUCACUUCCUUGUAUAGCAGCUUGCUCUCUCAUGUUUUCCCUCAUGCAUUAACCCAGUUUGUUGUUUGAUACUCAUCUGCCUUUGGCUAAUUCACACAGAUUUUUUGUGUUUUGUGUUUUGGACAGAUUCCUGGACUCCGAUCUUUCACCUGCUCCUCUUGGAUUUGUUUGUUUGGACGUUUGCCUGCAUCACCUCCCUACAUCUUGCCAGGGAGUCUCAAGAAGUUUGCUCCUCUGUGUUUGAUUGGGAGAGGGAGGCACAGUCGUGUAGAAGUGGAGCAAUCUGUGGUUGGUGUCCCAUCCAUUUUCCACUCGGAUGAAGAUGGCGCAGGGGAAGCUAUUGGUGGUCGAGGUGGUGUGUGGUGGCAGAGGAGGGAGGGCGGGCGAUUUGGAGAACGCGCCAAGCCCAAAAUUAAGAUGACAGCAAUGACAAGGCUCAAUGCCGAACAGAUCUAUCCCGCUGAUGCAGGCUGCAAGCUUAACAACCCAUGUAGGCUCCAUCUCUGUGAGAUGUGUGUGUGCUUGUGCGUGUUUGAUGUAGCGUACAAUAUGUGCGCCUGUUGACAAGAUCAUGGAGACUCAGUGUCAAACUUGACAGCUGAUUGCAGGCUGGAGUAAACACCUGGCAUCACGCUUGUCUACAGCUGAGCCUUUUGCUUAAGUCCAAAAGUUUAUUUUCUUGAAUUAAAAGCAGUUGUCCCAACCUUAUUUUUUCAGAUAUCCCCCUGUCGAUACAACGCCUUCAUAAAUACCAUUUAUAUGUAACAUUUAAAUAACUGUUUUAACUGUCUUAUACAAAGCAUUUAGCUAACUACUAUUUUAUGUAUUGCGAUCAAUUGGCUAUUUAAUGCAUUGUAUUUAGCUAACUAUAUGAACUGUUUUGUAUGACGCAUUAACUAUAUGAACUGUUUUGUAUGACGCAUUAACUAUUUGAACUGUUUUGUAUGUAGCAUUAACUAUUACAACUGUUUUAUACAUAGAGUUAACACCUGGUUCAUAUGUCGAGUUAACUGUUUUAUACUUGGCCUUAACAACUGUUUUAUACGUAGCAUUAGCUAGUUGAACUGUUUUAUUCUUAGCGUUAACGACUGUUUUAUAUCUAGCGUUAACUGUUUAGAGUUAACUGUUUCAACAGUUAUAUACGUGGAGUUAACUGUUUCAUACGUAGAGUUGACUAUUACAACUGUUUUAUACUUGGCCUUAACAACUGUUUUAUACAUAGAGUUAAAAACUAUUUUAUAUGUAGAGUUGACUAUUACAACUGUUUUAUAUGUAGUUAACUGUUUAUACUUGGCCUUAACACCUAUUUUAGACGCAGCAUUAACUAGUUGAACUGUUUUAGACGCAGCAUUAGCUAGUUGAACUGUUUUAGACGUAGCAUUAGCUAGUUGAACUGUUUUAUACGUAGCGUUAGCUAGUUGAACUGUUUUAUGUGUAGCGUUAACGACUGUUUAGAGCUAACUGUUUCAACUGUUUUAUAUCUAGCGUUAACUAUUACAACUGUUUUAUAUUUGGCCUUAACUGUUUUAUACGUAUAGUUAACUAUUUCAACCGUUUUAUAUCUAGCAUUAGCUAUUACAACUGUUUUAUACGUAGAGGUAGACGCCGCAUUAACUAGUUGAACUGUUUUAUAUCUAGCGUUAACAACUGUUUAGAGUUAACAGUUUCAACUGUUUUAUAUCUAGCGUUAACUAUUACAACUGUUUUAUACUUGGCAUUAACAACUGUUUUAUACGUAGAGUUAGACACAGCAUUAACUAGUUGAACUGUUUUAGACGUAGCAUUAACGACUGUUUUAUACGUAGACUUAACUGUUUUAUAUGUAGAGUUAAAUAUUACAACUGUUUUAUACGUAGCGUUAACUGUUUUAUAUGUAGAGUUGACUAUUUCAACUGUCUUAUAGCUAGCGUUUACUGUUAGAACUGUUUUAUAUGUAGCGUUAAAUAUAAGAACUGUUGUAGAUGCAGAAUUAACUAGUUGAACUGUUUUAUACGUAGAGUUAAAUAUUUCAACUGUUUUAUAUCUAGCGUUAACUACUGUUUUAGACGUAGCAUUAACUACUGUUUUAGACGUAGCAUUAACUACUGUUUUAGACGUAGCAUUAGCUACUGUUUCAUACCUAGAAUUGACUAUUUCAACUGUUUUACACUUAGCGUUAACAACUGUUAUAUGUAGCGUUAACUAUUGGGACUGUUUUGUUGCAUUUAGCUACCUAUUUGAAGUGUUUUAUAUAGCAUUUGUCUGACUACUACAACUGUUUUAUGCGCAACUUUUAACCGUUUUAACCAUAUAUAUUGCGUUCAGCUAACUGUUUCUUUAAUUUCGUACAUUACGUUUAGCUCAUUAUUUGAACUGUGCAUAAAGUCAAACCGAAACGGGUUUGACUUAAUUACUGAGGUGAAUUUACCCACUGAUUUGUCACCUGAAGAUCUUAUAAUCUAACAUCUUUACACUGUUUUUAAUUAUAACUGGUCAGAGCUGAUACCUGAUCCAUGUUCCUGGUCUCUCUCCACCUCUCCUCCCCCUCCCCUGUCUCUCUUCUCUCCCCUCUUUUCCCCGCUCACCCCAACCGGUCGAGGCAGAUGGCCGCCGCCCACAUUGAGCCUGGUUCUGCCGGAGGUUUCUUCCAGUUAAC